GACGAACGCUGGCGGCGCGCUUAACACAUGCAAGUCGAACGGAAAGGCCUGCUUUCCCUUGUGGAUUGCGGGUACUCGAGUGGCGAACGGGUGAGUAACACGUGAGUGAUCUGCCCCCAACUUGGGUAUAAGCCUGGGAAACUGGGUCUAAUUCCCGAUAGGACUGCAGGGUGGUGCCUGUGGUGGAAAACGAUUUUCUAGUGGUUGGGGAUGAGCUCGCGGCCUAUCAGCUUGUUGGUGGGGUAAUGGCCUACCAAGGCGGCGACGGGUAGCCGGCCUGAGAGGGUGGACGGCCACAUUGGGACUGAGAUACGGCCCAGACUCCUACGGGAGGCAGCAGUGGGGAAGAUUAGACAAUGGGCGGAAGCCUGAUGCAGCGACGCAGCGUGGGGGAUGACGGCCUUCGGGUUGUAAACUCCUUGCGACCGCGAGGAAGCCACCUGGUUGGAAGGGUGGUGACGGUAGUGGUAGAAGAAGCACCGGCUAACUACGUG
RNAcentral lists this ribosomal RNA (494 nucleotides) under uncultured bacterium. RNAcentral describes it as "partial 16S ribosomal RNA". It matches the Rfam family "Bacterial small subunit ribosomal RNA", at positions 28 to 507 of the family's 1533-position model. The record is from RNAcentral.